Molecule: long non-coding RNA, 804 nt
Filed under: Salmo salar (Atlantic salmon)
Lineage: Eukaryota; Metazoa; Chordata; Actinopteri; Salmoniformes; Salmonidae
Description: lncRNA (ENSSSAG00000093795.1)
Source: RNAcentral
GGGAUCUCUGCUGUAACGUGACAUUUUCUAAUGCUCCCAUAGGCUCUCAGAAGGCGCCAGAACGUUGAAUGAUGACUUUGCAGGCCAUGGCUGAAAAACAGUAGCGCAUUUGGAUAGUGGUCGAUCUGAGAACAAUGAGACUGGCGCACACGUGCACGAGAAGAGUCCAUUUUACUUUCUCUAUCUUUGAACGAAAACAACGACUCCCGGUCGGAAUAUUAUCGCUUUUUUUACGAGAAAAAUUGCAUAAAAAUUGAUUUUAAACAGCGUUUGACAUGCUUCGAAGUACGGUAAUGGAAUAUUUUGAAAUGUAUUGUCACGAAACGCGCCGGGCGCAUCACCCUUCAUUACCCUUCGGAUAGUGUCUUGAACGCACAACAAAACGCCGCUAUUUGGAUAUAACUAUGGAUUAUUUGAAACCAAAACAACAUUGGGUGAUGAAGUAGAAGUCCUGGGAGUGCAUUCUGAUGAAGAACAGCAAAGUGACCCUGUUCAUCAGAACGUCAUGGUGGGUGGAAAAAGAUGCUCUCUUCAGCAGCGGUGAAUAACCACAACCCUGACCUGAGCCCUAGGACCAUGCCUCAGGACUACCUGGCAUGAUGACUCCUUGCUGUCCCCAGUCCACCUGGCCGUGCUGCUGCUCCAGUUUCAACUGUUCUGCCUGCGGCUAUGGAACCCUGACCUGUUCACCGGACGUGCUUGUUGCACCCUCGACAACUACUAUGAUUAUUAUUAUUUGACCAUGCUGGUCAUUUAUGAACAUUUUAACAUCUUGACCAUGUUCUGUUAUAAUAUCCACCCGGC